This is a long non-coding RNA of Daktulosphaira vitifoliae (grape phylloxera), 977 nucleotides long. RefSeq lists it as uncharacterized. The record is from RefSeq and is a predicted model, not a curated record. NCBI's taxonomy places the organism in Eukaryota, Metazoa, Arthropoda, Insecta, Hemiptera, Phylloxeridae. The transcript is spliced from 3 exons.
UUUACAUGCACUUAUACAUAUUAAUAAAAAAUUCAUAGAAAAAAUGUGUUUUUAUUCACUCUGGCUAAGCAAAAUAUUAUUGUACGUGUCAUUUUUAAGUAAAAGGAGUCAACACUCCGACCUACGGUCAAGAUUUAUGUUUAGUUAGUAUAGUCGUGGGUCAGCAUGUAUUUUUUAGUUCUCGUUAGUGUCUACAAUUUACUGUGCUCAUAUCAAAUUCAACCCUAAACUAUUAGGAUGUUAAUCCACUGUGCAUUAACCGAAAGGUGGUCAUUGUAGAGUAAAUCAAAAUAUUAAAAUUUUCAUAAAAAAAAAAAUAAAUAGAAUAUUAUACGACAAGGUGUUAAUACUGUCGUUUUUAAUUUCGCACCUGACCUAUCAUUAUAAUACAGUUUUCCAUUAACUUUUUAUAAUCAUUCAUUUACUGCUUUUUAUGUGGCUCAUGUGAAAAUAUUCAUCAAAAUUUUAACUCAUAUUUUUUUGUUUAUUUGGAUAACUAUCAACUAAACCAAAUUAACUACAUUUUUUAAAAGAAUUUUUUUAAUGUUUGAAGAUUGCUCUUCUUCAAAUUGUAAAAAAUGCAAAAAAUAAUGACACUCUUCUCAAAUGUCAUGACGACGUGAUUUGCGAAUUCCAGUGGCAGUGAACAUUGUGUAGUGUUUGGAAUGACAUUAUUAUACAAUUCGCCGACAAUCAAUAAAUAAUUUGUGUAGAUGUAAUACGUAGUUUUUUAGCAUAUCGCAUUUCACCUGGUUAAAACUCAGCAUUUGGCAGUUUUUUGAUUCAACUGAAACGACCGGGACCGAAAAAAUAUGAAUUUGAAGUGAAAUAUUACAAUGAUGGCGUUCCAAGAAGAAAGCGCUGCUUCAUAGUGCGCCGUGGCGGAGGUUGAAUAACCCGCAAUUAUAUAGCUGUACUGUACUGUAUUGAUUUUGUAUUUCCAACGGCAGUAUUCCGAGAAUUCAUUUGUUCGCGCU